Octodon degus (degu) is the source of this 746-nucleotide RNA transcript. It is a transcript of the gene named ribosome-recycling factor, mitochondrial pseudogene, with no coding region annotated. The record is from RefSeq and is a predicted model, not a curated record. Lineage: Eukaryota; Metazoa; Chordata; Mammalia; Rodentia; Octodontidae. The transcript has a single exon.
UUAGUAACCUGGGCGAUAGCUGGUAUUCACAAGGAUUGUUUUUAGUCAUGGCCUUGGGAUUAAAAUGCUUCCGUUUGAUCCACCCUGCUUCUUGUAAUUACCUUGGAGUCUUGGUCAGACCUGUUUCAGAAAUUGCACUGAAGACAGUGAGUGGAAGACAGCCUGACCAUAGCCAGCACAUGGCUUAUCAGGCCCUACCAAUUCAUUCUUUUGCAACCAAGAAAGCCAAAGCCAAAGGGAAAGGACAAUCCCAAACCAGAGUGAACAUUAACACAGCUUUGGUUGAAGAUAUAAUCAACUUGGAAGAAGUGGAUGAAGAAAUGAAGUCUGUGAUAGAAGUACUCAAGGAUAAUUUCAAUAAGACUCUUAAUAUAAGGACUUCGCCAGGAUCCUUUGAUCAUAUUACUGUGGUAACUACUGAUGGGAAGCUUGCUUUAAACCAGAUUAGCCAGAUCACCAUGAAGUCGCCACAGUUGAUUUUGGUGAAUAUGGCCAGCUUCCCAGAGUGUACAGCUGCAGCUAUCAAGGCUAUAAGAGAAAGUGGAAUGAAUCUGAACCCAGAAGUGGAAAGGACGCUGAUUCGGGUACCUAUUCCUAAAGUAACCAGAGAGCACAGGGAGAUGCUGGUGAAACUGGCUAAACAGAACACCAACAAGGCCAAAGACUCUUUAUGGAGGGUUCGUACUGAUGCAAUGAAUAAGCUGAAGAAGUCAAAGGAUAAGACUUCAGAGGAUACCAUUCGACUC